UAUUUUGCAGAAAUAUAUAUAUAUAACAUAUUCACCAAAAGAAAUGUUGAAAUAAAAUAUAAAAUUACACGAUUUUUGUUUUGUUAUUUUUUUAUUUAUAUUUACUUUACCACUGAAUGAUUUUUCAUAAGAAACACAGUCGACAAAACUUAAGCUUCAAAAUUAUACGACCUUCAACCUUUAAAUCUAGUCAUAUGACAUAAUUUUUCGCCAUCCGUAUAAUGAAUCAGCUGAUUGAUGGCGUCAUAAAAUGACAAACUUAUUGCGUCAUUUCCCCCAUUUUUUUGACGAUUUAUUAUAAACGCGACUUACUUCACAUGUUUUCUACAUGUCGAGGGGUGAACGGAAGACUGUUGUAACUCAUAUUAUAUUAAGAAGGAGAUACUGCAGUUUUCCGUUCAGCCCUCGAUGUACUGUAUGUCGACAUAUCUGAAUUGUCAAUUGAUCACAUUUUCCUUAUUUCGUGUAAUGUGCAUUGUUUAUAACCAAAGCAUAUACUUUUGACAUUUAACUUAAAUAUUCAGAAUGUACAACAAGCCAUACACAUAUCGCAAAGUUCAUGAAUAAUCUGCUAUGUUUGCUUUCCUAUUUAAUUCACGUUAGGCAUAGAGCUGUGUAAAGUAUAAGAUGGUAAAAAUAGCACCACACUGGAAUUUGGAACGUCCCAUUUUGUACACGGGUAUUUCCUACUCAUUUAUCUGUUGUGUACUGGAAUGUUUUCCAUUCUUUGUGUAUUUAUAUAUUAAAUUAUUUUCUCGUACAAUAAGGGCUUUUACCAUAGAUAUAUAAAACAUUGUGCAAGUUUAAACAUAAUUAUGUUUGUAUGCAGAAAUCUGCAAAUGCAACCGAGUUUACCAACGGCUAUUAUUAGAUAAACUGCUCCGGUUCAUUUGAACAGCAGUAAUGUAGAGUACAUGACGUAGCGUGUGACGAAGAAGAAAGUUUAUCGCGUUCAUAAACUCAUUUGAAUAAAGUGAUAGAAUGGCAUAAGGGUCAUUAUUUAACUAUGCUAAAAUAAUUAUUAAAGACCCUAGAUGCAAUAUCGUCAAUUAUUGAGUUAAAUGGAUUAUUAGAUGGAUUUUAAAGGAUUAUUAAAGAAAAAGGAACGUGAGAAAUCGAAAGCAAAGCUUGUAUUAUUGGACAAAGACUUUGAGAGUGAGAAAGGUGAGUUAGUGAAACGAAAGGACAACGAGAUUCAUGAGCUGAAGCAGCACCUUGAAGCAGCCCAGAACAAUGCAAGUCAGCAGGAGAUACAGACCCAGGCACACAAACAAGUGCUAGACAAAACUCAACUUGGAAAAAGAGGCUUUUGAGUUUGAGCGCGAAAAACUGGAAAAGCAACUGAAGCGCUUGGAAAACGAGCGUGAAACGAGCCAAUGGUGUGCUGAUAACAGCAAGGGUGGAGGCAGUCAUAGCAGAGGAGAACUACAACACAGCCAUUCAGGAGAAGCAGAAAAUCACAUAUGAGCUGACAGACAUGACAGAGGACAAGGAGCGGCUGGAGAAACAGCUCACUGUGGUAACCAUGGGGCUGGAUCUACAUUCCUUCAUACGGUAGUCUUUAAUCCGGGUUGUUAUUUUAUCUGAACAA
Molecule: long non-coding RNA, 1591 nt
Organism: Dreissena polymorpha
Lineage: Eukaryota; Metazoa; Mollusca; Bivalvia; Myida; Dreissenidae
Exons: 3
Source: RefSeq, a predicted model, not a curated record